GUACCGAUAUCCAUAUUGGUAUAAUAUCGGUAUAUCGAUUCCUUUGCAGACCUCUCAACUCUCACGCAUUCGGCGUGAGUCUCACGCAAUUCGCUUCACUCUCACGCUCUCACGCCACGAUUAGUUAAUCUCACGCAUAUAGCAGUUUCAUAGUAUUUUUUCAAUAAUAUAAUAUUGUAUUCUUAAUAAAUGCACAUUAUUAAUCAUUAUACGGAUUGCGAAUCGAAUAUAUAAUCGCGUGUUAUUGUUCCUGCAUAUAUGGCCCGACAUUUUGGCUUUUGCCCGCAAUUUGCAUGGAUACAAAAUAGUACGCAUAUGUAAAUACGGCGGACAAAAGGCAGAAUCAGUCGGAGCAGAAUUCUAUAUGUAAAUUAUCAAAGGCAAAUUAAAGCUCAUUACUGUAUGUCACAGAAAUACAGUUAUAGUGCCUUGUCUCAAUAAAGGACGUUAUGAAGCAAUGACGUAUUUCAUUAAAAAACACCAACUCUCAUAAUGUACGAAAUGCCAUUUCAGACCCCCGGCCACGGACUUUUACAAAGGUGUCAUCCACAUCCCCAAUCUCACUCUUAACUUCUCUGCAAAGUUGAGA
Molecule: non-coding RNA, 589 nt
Organism: Paramuricea clavata
Lineage: Eukaryota; Metazoa; Cnidaria; Anthozoa; Malacalcyonacea; Plexauridae
Source: the annotation of a GenBank genome assembly